Molecule: ribosomal RNA, 460 nt
Filed under: uncultured bacterium
Lineage: Bacteria
Description: partial 16S ribosomal RNA
Rfam family: Bacterial small subunit ribosomal RNA
Source: RNAcentral
CCUACGGGUGGCAGCAGUGAGGAAUAUUGGUCAAUGGACGAGAGUCUGAACCAGCCAAGUAGCGUGAAGGAUGACUGCCCUAUGGGUUGUAAACUUCUUUUAUAUGGGAAUAAAACGUUCCACGUGUGGGAUUUUGUAUGUACCAUAUGAAUAAGGAUCGGCUAACUCCGUGCCAGCAGCCGCGGUAACACGGAGGAUCCGAGCGUUAUCCGGAUUUAUUGGGUUUAAAGGGAGCGUAGGUGGAUUGUUAAGUCAGUUGUGAAAGUUUGCGGCUCAACCGUAAAAUUCCAGUUGAAACUGGCAGUCUUGAGUACAGUAGAGGUGGGCGGAAUUCGUGGUGUAGCGGUGAAAUGCUUAGAUAUCACGAAGAACUCCGAUUGCGAAGGCAGUUCACUGGACUGCAACUGACACUGAGGCUCGAAAGUGUGGGUAUCAAACAGGAUUAGAUACCCUUGUAGUC